Coturnix japonica (Japanese quail) is the source of this 465-nucleotide long non-coding RNA. RefSeq lists it as uncharacterized. The record is from RefSeq and is a predicted model, not a curated record. NCBI's taxonomy places the organism in Eukaryota, Metazoa, Chordata, Aves, Galliformes, Phasianidae.
UUUCUAAUGAGAACAAGACCUGCCUGAUGGACGGCUGCAGAGAAACUGGGGAAUUCAUAACCAGGCCGGCCAGUUUCAUGUGGAACGAGCUAUUACAGGGAGCUGCAUUUUAAGUAGCCUCCAGAGCAGCCUUCAGAGCUUCAUUCUCAUCCAGCUGGAUCACAAGCCUAUGAGGAAACAAAAGGAAACUUUCAUGUGAGCCUGGGAGCUUCAAAACAAAUUAGAACAGUGCUUCAGCUCCAGGGAAGAAAACACUGAAACAGGUGCUCUCUGGUAAUCUUGUACCAGCCAUGAGAAAGAACAGACCUAUAAACACUUGCUCCUUUUCUCUCAGAGACAGAAAAAGUUAUUAGAAGACAAAAAUACUUUUCAGAUGUUUUGUUAAAGAUGACCAUUUCUUUUUUCCAGCAAUAAGCUUGCAAUCAAUAGCUAAGGAAAGAAAAAAAUAAAGGUGUUUUUCUUGAA